AAAAGGUAAAUACGCAGUCGAGUGGCCAGGAAUGCCCGAGGCAGCCAGGGUAGGGUUUGCCGGUUUGGGGGCGAUCGGCGACUUGGCGUGGCAGCGCGCGGCGGCCGGUGGCCGGCCGAGUCCAGAUCCGGCGAUCGGCGACUCGGCUAGUGGAGGGAUCCGGCGGCGGGCGGCGCCCUCGCCCCUCGGCCGGCGCACUAUUCACGGCACGGCAGCUCCAUUGCGAUCUGCAAGCACCAAGCUAGCAAGGUGCUCCAUUUGCAAACGAAAAUGGAGGCCGGGGGAGACUCCGAGCCUGCGCAAGCGACGCUGGCCAGGGACUGGUCGGAGCUGCCCCUCGACGCCCUCACGUCGGUCUUUGCCAAGCUAGGCGCCAUUGAGAUCCUUAUGGGCGCUGUGCCACUCAUGGCUCGCCACGGUCAAAGGUGCCUUCUCUGUGGCAGUCAAAGAGAAUUGCAGGUCUGGAGCUAGAGAUGUCCUGUGCGCCAUGGUGAAGGAGGCCGUGGACCGUUCCAGCGGCCAGCUGGAGGUGUUCAUCGGAGAGGAGUUUGUUGAUGAUGACCUUCUCAAGUACAUAGGGGGCAGGUAUGAUCUUUAACUGCAUUAUUUUUAUACCACUCGAAAGAAUUGUCCUGCCAGCAAAAAUGAAGAAAAAUGUCUGGUAAUUGCUUGUUUCUGACAGCACGUCCUUGCACUCCUUUUAUUUGCAUCAUUUAUUUAUUGAGAUCUGAACACUAUAUCUUCAGGAGUAGCUGUGGGUUUGAUACGUGGUUAAUUGCACCGUUUCGAUUUUAAAAACAAAGGUUUUUCUUUCUCAGAACAUCAGAAUACUGUGGAAGGAAAAAUGAUUUCUUCACGUUUUAGUGAAAUUCUUACUGGACAUAACCUCGUUUCAAAUCCCGUUCCAGAAUUUGGCGUUUCAAGAAGUUUCUGGAUGUACAAGAUGUUACUGUUUUUACGCUGCAGAAUUGCUGCCAUGGAGCUAGAGAAGGAGAUUGGUUACUAGUGCUCUUCCAUGGCUCCGGGAAAUACAUGUUUCAAAAUGUUUGUUCACUACAAAAAUUAUGAGCACAGUUAUUAAUAGCAAACAACGAUUUCACUCCCUUCCUCUAAUUAAAUACACUGAAAGAGAAAUUGGCAUGCCUUUUGUUUCAAAUAUAUAUUCUUCAUUUGUGAGUAGCACCCACACAACUCUCUCAAGAUAUUAGUCAUUUCACUUUACCAUUCUGAUGGUUUCAUGCGUGUUCCAUAGUACAAGUGCUCAUGAAGCUAGUGUAGUGUGAUCUAAUAGAGAUGUGGAUGGUCAUCUUUGCAUAAUGUUUCUUUCUUGGACCUUAUGCUUCCUUGCUUAGUUGGCACAGAGUAAGGUUGCAAAUGGUCCUAUGCAUGGAAACGAUGAUUUUUGAAAAAAAUAUAUAGAAUUAUUAGUGGUUCGGUAUCAUUAAUACAGUUGAGGUUGUAGCUAAAGCGCCUCGAAGUUGGCAAGUACAUUCCCUCGCCAUGCAGUUUUGUAAUAGAUCAUGAGGAUAAUUCCGACUGUGAUGAAGCCCGUGGGAUUGCAAGAAUGCAUGGGCUACGCUCCCUGAAGAUUUAUCACAAUAAGCUCAACAACAAAGCACUAGCUGCCAUUCUUGACAACUGCCCUCACCUGGAGUCCCUCGAUCUACAAUGUGUGCUUCAACAUUUUCGUGGAUGGUGCCAUGCCAGCCAAGUAUGCUGGCAUCAAGAUGGCUGGCAUCUCAUGGGCUACGACCCAGGUGUGAUGGCUACGAGCGCUGGGCCGAGAGCCCUCCCUCGUCGGAUCAGGAUUAAUCCUGGUGGUGAUGAUUUCAAUAUAAUCAUGGUGCUGCUUAUUAAGCCUAAUCUCAAAUGUAUUAUAGCGUGAUGUAAUAUCUAAGACCGCCACGUCACUAGGUUUAGUAUUAAGUAGAUGUGUAGAAACAACUUCUGUUAUGUAUCUUAUCGUAUUAUUGUUUCCUAUGUCAUUGAACACGAUUAAUUGUUAUGUUUUUCUA
This is a long non-coding RNA of Setaria italica (foxtail millet), 2015 nucleotides long. RefSeq lists it as uncharacterized. The record is from RefSeq and is a predicted model, not a curated record. NCBI's taxonomy places the organism in Eukaryota, Viridiplantae, Streptophyta, Magnoliopsida, Poales, Poaceae. The transcript is spliced from 2 exons.